UGGGACCCCCCAGGACCACAAGGGACCCCUCUGGGACCCCCCAGGACCACAAGGGACCCUUCUGGAUCACACGGGGACCCCCCCAGGACCACGAGGGACCCCUCUGGGACCCCCCAGGACCACAAGGGACCCUUCUGGAUCACACGGGGACCCCCCCAGGACCACGAGGGACCCCUCUGGGACCCCCCAGGACCACAAGGGACCCUUCUGGAUCACACGGGGACCCCCCCAGGACCACGAGGGACCCCUCUGGGACCCCCCCAGGACCACAAGGGACCCUUCUGGAUCACACAGGGACCCCCCCAGGACCACGAGGGACCCCUCUGGGACCCCCCUGAGACCACGAGGGACCCCCCAGGACCACAAGGGACCCUUCUGGAUCACACAGGGACCCCCCCCAGGACCACGAGGGACCCCCCAGAACCACAAGGGACCCCCCCAAGGACUAUGAGGGAGCCGCCUGGACCCCCCCCACCCCUGAGGGACCCUCCUGGACCCACACAUGACCCCCCCAGAGAACGGCGAGGGACCCCCCCUGGACCCCUCCCAGCCUGUGAGGGACCCCCUGGACCCCCCAGAACCACAAGAGACCCCCAAAGGACUACAAGAGACACCCCCCACCCCCCAGACCUCAGUGGACCCCCAAGGACCAUGAGGAGACCCCCCCAGGGUCCCCCCAACUUCUGAGGGGACCCCCUUGAACCACAAGGGCCUUUGAGGGACCCCCACCCCUGACCUUGGGGUGACCCCCGAGGACAACAUGGGACCCCCCUGGAUUUUGGGGGACCCCCCCCAAACCGUGAGGGACCCGUGGAACAACAUGGGGACCCCCCUGGGCCCCCCAAAGCCCCUCGGGGGGGGGGGAAGGGCACACAGAGCCCCCCCCCCCAAUACGUGUGCAUGGACACGGACCUCCCCACGGGGCACACGCGUGUGAGCGGGGCUUCUGCUGGGCAGAAGCAGGAGGCUGACGUGUGCGAGGCGUGUGCGAGGCGUGUGCAAGGCCUGAGGCGUGUGCGAGGCGUGUGCAAGGCCUGAGGUGUGUGUGAGGCGUGUGCGAGGCGUGUGCAAGGCCUGAGGCGUGUGCGAGGCGUGUGCAAGGCCUGAGGCGUGUGCGAGGCGUGUGCGAGGCGUGUGCAAGGCCUGAGGCGUGUGCGAGGCGUGUGCAAGGCCUGAGGCGUGUGCGAGGCGUGUGCAAGGCGUGUGCAAGGCGUGUGCAAGGCUUGAGGCGUGUGCGAGGCGUGUGCAAGGCCUGAGGCGUGUGCGAGGCGUGUGCAAGGCGUGUGCAAGCCCUGAGGCGUGUGCGAGGCGUGUGCGAGCUGUGUGCAAGCCCUGAGGCGUGUGCGAGGCGUGUGCAAGCUCUGAGGCGUGUGCGAGGCGUGUGCGAGGCCUGAGGCGUGUGUGAGGCGUGUGCAAGGCCUGAGGCGUGUGUGAGGCGUGUGCGAGGCGUGUGCAAGGCCUGAGGCGUGUGCGAGGCGUGUGCGAGGCGUGUGCAAGGCGUGUGCGAGGCGUGUGCAAGGUCUGAGGCGUGUGCGAGGCGUGUGCAAGGCCUGAGGCGUGUGCGAGGCGUGUGCGAGGCGUGUGCGAGGCGUGUGCAAGGCGUGUGCAAGGCCUGAGGCGUGUGCGAGGCGUGUGCAAGGCCUGAGGUGUGUGCGAGGCGUGUGCAAGGCCUGAGGCGUGUGCGAGGCGUGUGCGAGGCGUGUGCAAGGCCUGAGGCGUGCGUGAGGCAUGUGCGAGGCGUGUGCAAGGCCUGAGGCGUGUGUGAGGCGUGUGCGAGGCGUGUGCAAGGCCUGAGGCGUGUGCGAGGCGUGUGCAAGGCCUGAGGCGUGUGCGAGGCGUGUGCGAGGCGUGUGCGAGGCGUGUGCAAGGCGUGUGCAAGGCCUGAGGCGUGUGCGAGGCGUGUGCAAGGCCUGAGGCGUGUGCGAGGCGUGUGCGAGGCGUGUGCAAGGCCUGAGGCGCGUGUGCAAGGCGUGUGCGAGGCGUGUGCAAGGCGUGUGCGAGGCGUGUGCAAGGCCUGAGGCGUGUGCGAGGCGUGUGCAAGGCCUGAGGCGUGCGUGAGGCGUGUGCGAGGCAUGUGCAAGCCCUGAGGUGUGUGUGAGGCGUGUGCGAGGCGUGUGCAAGCCCUGAGGCGUGUGCGAGGCGUGUGCGAGGCGUGAGGCGUGUGCGAGGCGUGUGCAAGCCCUGAGGCGUGUGCAAGGUCUGAGGCAUGUUCAAGCCGUGUGCAAGGUCUGAGGCAUGUUCAAGCCGUGUGCAAGCCCUGAGGCGUGUGCGAGGCGUGUGCAAGCCCUGAGGCGUGUACGAGGUGUGUGCGAGCCGUGUGCAAGGUCUGAGGCGUGCACAAGCCGUGUGCGAGGCGUGUGCGAGGCGUGUGCGAGCUGUGUGCACGGACGAACCCCAUCUGCAGCCCCCCCACCCCCCCCCAGUUCACCCCAGUCCCUCCCAGUUUGGCCUGGGGGGGCCCUGGGGGGUCCCUGCCCCCCCCCCCCCCCCCUUAUUUAUGGCUCUGCCCCAUUAAAGCUGGUGAACACGG
Phalacrocorax carbo (great cormorant) is the source of this 2530-nucleotide non-coding RNA. The record is from RefSeq and is a predicted model, not a curated record. Lineage: Eukaryota; Metazoa; Chordata; Aves; Suliformes; Phalacrocoracidae.